Molecule: regulatory RNA element, 113 nt
Organism: Ramazzottius varieornatus
Lineage: Eukaryota; Metazoa; Tardigrada; Eutardigrada; Parachela; Ramazzottiidae
Rfam family: Potassium channel RNA editing signal
About the family: This family represents a group of sequences related to the human potassium channel Kv1.1 hairpin element which directs the efficient modification of an adenosine to inosine by an adenosine deaminase acting on RNA (ADAR). The ADAR modification causes an isoleucine/valine recoding event which lies in the ion-conducting pore of the potassium channel. It is thought that this editing event targets the process of fast inactivation and allows a more rapid recovery from inactivation at negative potentials.
Source: Rfam
AUAGGUACGGCGAUAUGGUGCCCAAGACGAUUGCCGGAAAAGUGGUUGGUGGUGUCUGCUCCUUGAGCGGCGUCUUGGUCAUCGCACUUCCGGUGCCCGUCAUCGUUUCCAAU